GUUUACAGUCAUACCAAUCUGAAUGUGCCCAUCUCAUCUGAUCUCAGAAGCUAACCAGGGUCAGGCCUGGUUAGUACUGGAUGGGAGACCACCUGGGAUUACCUGGUGCUAUAGGUC
Molecule: ribosomal RNA, 117 nt
Organism: Cercocebus atys (sooty mangabey)
Lineage: Eukaryota; Metazoa; Chordata; Mammalia; Primates; Cercopithecidae
Source: Ensembl